CCUACGGGAGGCAGCAGUGGGGAAUAUUGCACAAUGGCGGAAACGCUGAUGCAGCGACGUCGCGUGAGUGAAGAAGGAUUUCUGGAUUGUAAGCUCUUUUUGUAGGGGAGUAAAGGUCUCUACCUGAGUAUGAUUGCCUGUCUAACUAGGUGCCAGCAGCCGCGGUAAUAUGUAGGGGGCAAGCGUAAUCCGGAUUUACUGGGUGUAAGGGGAGCGUAUACGGUAGCUGAGGUCUGAAGUGAAAUCUCAUGGCUUAACCAUGGAACUGCCUUGGAAACUGUACAGCUGGAGUGUGUGAGAGGUAGGCGGAAUGCGUGGUGUAGCGGUGAAAGGCGUAGAUAUUAGGCAGAACACCGGUGGCGAAGGCAGCUUACUAAGCUAUAACUGACAUUGAAGCACGAAAGCGUGGGGAGCAAACAGGAUUAGAUACCCCGGUAGUC
This 440-nucleotide ribosomal RNA is filed under the name uncultured bacterium. RNAcentral's name for it is "partial 16S ribosomal RNA". It matches the Rfam family "Bacterial small subunit ribosomal RNA", at positions 338 to 795 of the family's 1533-position model. The record is from RNAcentral.